CUGGCAUGGGACUUUGAUUUUAUUGUGAUUGCACAGAAAGCUAACCUCUGCUUCUGUGGAUGGAUCGGUUUCCCUAGCUGCACACACUUCUCCUGGAAUGGCUCUAACUCCCCAGUAUCUGCUUCCAACAAACUUCUCUCCAGGCUAAACAGACACUUGCUACUCACACCACAGUGCAGGGGGAGUGAUGCUGAAAAAAGAAGAUGUGGUGUAGCUGACAUCUUGGCUUGUCUUGUGAUCUGAGUAACGUCGGAACGAUUCCAUCAAUGCUGUCAGGAACAGGUUCCAGAGCCCUCCAGGUAUCUGUCAGACACCACAAGCAAUCUGGGGAAGGAAUGCUGCAUGGCAGAGACAUCUGCUGGGUGCUGCUUGCACUCCUCCCACGCCUCCUGGUUCAGCUCUCUGGGAGUGUGGAUCCUUGGAGAAGCCCUGGGAGAAGCUGCCUCCAGCUGGGGAGUGAGUUUGUGACUGAUGGAGAAAGCAGCACACCCCUGCCCAGCCACUCAGUCACUCAACAGGAGCCAGAAAUCUAUAGGCUAUGUGCUAGAAAUUUUAAUGAAACUUUUGCAUCUAAAUUGAAGGCUAUGCUCCUCUAUCCAGCUGCCUGACAUUGAACUGUCAGAGGAAGGCUGGUGAAAUUCAUCCCUUUCCCAAGCAUAUACAGCAGGAGAAGAUCAGUGUUUUAAUUAGGGAAAGGAACUAUCAGGGACCUCUGCAAUUUUGACAACGUGCUUGCACUAAGGCACUGUUAUCCAAGUUAAAAACUGAAAAUGUGGUUUCAGAUUCUAGCAUCUCCUAAAUACCUUGCAUCAAUCACCUCCCUUCUAAGAGAGACACUGAUGCUACUCUCCACUACAAAGUGGAUCUCAAUCCCUCUCCCCCUUCCUUCUUCAUAGUGGGAAAACAUGGAUUGAUCACCCUGGGUUGACAGGAUCACACUGUGCUUUGACCAUAUCUCAGCAUCCUGUUUCUCAGCUUUAGACACUGGCUGAGACAAUGCAGAAAGCACUCGCUGAGUAAACCCCAGAAAGAUGAAAUCCUGUUUUGCACAACAGCAGAAAAGAGGAUGCUUUGCAAACUCAAUUCCCUUUUCUCCAAAUGAGGGAUCCAGCUGAUGCAAAGCAUCGUGCAAAUGAAAACAAGCUGUAUUUGAUUCCAUGCACACCGAAUGCUUGAACUGUGUUUAGCACAUCACAGGUGUAGGGUUUGAGUGAUAAUCCCCAGUGUAGCAGGAUUUUUCCUGCAGACACCAGUUCACAUCUGAUGGGAGACUGUUUUAAAACCAGCCUCUGCUCUUACAUUGCAAGUACAAUUCUCUCCCUCAAGCUACUUGCAGACAAAAACAUGUUUACCUCCACCUAUCAAAGCACCAGGGGAAAAGAACAGCCCCUUGAAGGAAAUUAAUCCCUGAAAAGCGUUUGAAAUGUUAUAAACAGCUUACUACCAGAGUGAACAGAUGCACUAAGAAGGAUAAACAAGUAUUUGCCCAGCCCCUCAGAGGGAGCUGGUUCCACACCCCCUUUACAGUCAUGCUAGGUGGGUAUCAGGGUCCCAGUGUGUGGUGGCCAAGGUUGUGGCCCAGCCCAGGUGUCCAAGGCAAGCAGCUCA
Molecule: long non-coding RNA, 1608 nt
Organism: Zonotrichia albicollis (white-throated sparrow)
Lineage: Eukaryota; Metazoa; Chordata; Aves; Passeriformes; Passerellidae
Source: Ensembl